CAGGCCUAACACAUGCAAGUCGAAUGCGGAUUCCGCAUGGCGAAACGGUGAGUACAAUUCACAGAACUAACUAUAUAAUUCGGAAUAAAUAGAAUUCUAAUAAUACCGAAUCAAAAGAUUAAUCGUUAUAUAGAAGGCUGGAAGAGGAUUAGGUAGUUGGUUAGGUAAAGGCUGACCAAGCCAUUGAUCCUUAGUCGGUUUGAGAGAAUGAUCGGCCACAGUGGGAAUGAAGAAAGACCCAAACUCGAAUGAGGCAGCAGUGAGGAAUAUUGGACAAUGGGCGAAAGCCUGAUCCAGCAAUAUGAAAGAAACGAAGAAGGUGAUUUCAUUGUAACGUUGGAAUUUGAGGAGAAUGAUGAUCGUAAUCAAAGAGUAGUUCCGGCUAACUUCGUGCCAGCAGCCGCGGUAAU
This 410-nucleotide ribosomal RNA is filed under the name uncultured bacterium. Its description in RNAcentral is "bacterial SSU rRNA". It matches the Rfam family "Bacterial small subunit ribosomal RNA", at positions 43 to 524 of the family's 1533-position model. The record is from RNAcentral.